Molecule: long non-coding RNA, 626 nt
Organism: Pseudopipra pipra
Lineage: Eukaryota; Metazoa; Chordata; Aves; Passeriformes; Pipridae
Exons: 4
Source: RefSeq, a predicted model, not a curated record
GAGGAAAGUGGGCCUGCAUAUCCAACAGAUGUGUGGUGAUGCCAACUGGUUGUAUAACCUCUGUGACCUGACCAAGGCAGAGGUUGGAGUAAAACACUGCUUUGAUGCCACGAAUGGGCCCCUGCUGGGUUUUGGUAACAAAGGUGGUGGUUCCUGGAUUAACAGUCCCAUGGAGGUCUCUCCCCACAGGAAGGGAACAUCCAGGUGGUGUGAAUUAGCAUGGAAGACCAAUGCAGUGGAAGUAAAAUGCCAAUUUCCAUUGCAAAGGAGGUAAAAAUGUCUCAAGUUGAUUACCUACAACAGCCUCCCAAACUGGAAGAGAGAGGACUUAAUGGAGAAAUUAUGAAGUUGUCUGGAAGAACUGAACUAGGUAGUCAGGAUCAAAAGGAGGUUCUUCAGUGGCAGAUCUGCUGGAAUUCCAGGGGACUGUGUGGGUGCCAAAAGUUUACAUGAAUACAAGGAGUGUAAUGGGCAAGGCCAUAUAUGUGAGACCAGAAGUUACUGGUGAGAAAAAACCGUAUUGUCCUUAUGAAAUAUCCAGAGCUGAAAAUAAUUAAUGAGUGGGAAAGUACUGAGAGAGAAGUGUUGCAGUGGCUCUUCCUCUUGGGACAGACUUUUUGGAAUAU